RNAcentral lists this ribosomal RNA (273 nucleotides) under uncultured bacterium. RNAcentral's name for it is "partial 16S ribosomal RNA". It matches the Rfam family "Bacterial small subunit ribosomal RNA", at positions 524 to 796 of the family's 1533-position model. The record is from RNAcentral.
GACGAACCGUGCGAACGUUGUUCGGAUUCACUGGGCUUAAAGGGCGCGUAGGCGGGUUGCCAAGUCAGGGGUGAAAUCUUUCGGCUCAACCGGAAAACGGCCCCUGAUACUGGCGACCUCGAGGGGGGUAGGGGCGGACGGAACUUCCGGUGGAGCGGUGAAAUGCGUAGAUAUCGGAAGGAACGCCGGUGGCGAAAGCGGUCCGCUGGACCCCUUCUGACGCUGAGGCGCGAAAGCCAGGGGAGCAAACGGGAUUAGAAACCCCUGUAGUCC